UACAGAGGAUGCAAGCGUUAUCCGGAAUGAUUGGGCGUAAAGCGUCUGUAGGUGGCUUUUUAAGUCCGCCGUCAAAUCCCAGGGCUCAACUCUGGACAGGCGGUGGAAACUACCAAGCUGGAGUACGGUAGGGGCAGAGGGAAUUUCCGGUGGAGCGGUGAAAUGCGUAGAUAUGUGGAGGAACACCGAUGGCGAAGGCAGCCCCCUGGGUCAAAACUGACGCUCAUGCACGAAAGCGUGGGGAGCAAACAGG
RNAcentral lists this ribosomal RNA (253 nucleotides) under uncultured bacterium. RNAcentral describes it as "partial 16S ribosomal RNA". It matches the Rfam family "Bacterial small subunit ribosomal RNA", at positions 524 to 776 of the family's 1533-position model. The record is from RNAcentral.